Molecule: transfer RNA, 72 nt
Organism: Ovis aries (sheep)
Lineage: Eukaryota; Metazoa; Chordata; Mammalia; Artiodactyla; Bovidae
Rfam family: tRNA
About the family: Transfer RNA (tRNA) molecules are approximately 80 nucleotides in length.
Source: Rfam
UCCCUCAUAGUUCAGUUGGUGAAAAAUCUGCCUGCCAUGCAGGAGACCCGGGUUCGAUUCCUGGGUCGGGAA